AACGCACCUUGCACCCUUUGGUAUUCCGAAGGGUAUGCCCGUUUGAGUGUCAUUGUAAUCUCACACCCAAGACUUCUUGUCGAGGGAGGUGGACUUGGACGUUUUGCUGCGUAACUGCGGCUCGUCUCAAAAGUGUCAGCGCGGCUCUAGAUGAAGCGUUUGAUGCCCAGUGUAAUAAGUAUUUCGCUGUGGUUAGCAUUAGUCUAUGGGUUGUUGUGCUCUCUAAUCGUCUUCGGACUGGACCAGCGAUGGUUCAUUUGACAACUUGGCCUCAAAUCGGGUAGGACUACCCGCUGAACUUAA
RNAcentral lists this unclassified non-coding RNA (303 nucleotides) under uncultured Sebacinales. RNAcentral describes it as "sequence contains ITS2". Lineage: Eukaryota; Fungi; Basidiomycota; Agaricomycetes; Sebacinales. The record is from RNAcentral.